Molecule: ribosomal RNA, 510 nt
Filed under: uncultured bacterium
Lineage: Bacteria
Description: partial 16S ribosomal RNA
Rfam family: Bacterial small subunit ribosomal RNA
Source: RNAcentral
GACGAACGCUGGCGGCGUGCUUAACACAUGCAAGUCGAACGAAGAGCGAUGGAAGCUUGCUUCUAUCAAUCUUAGUGGCGAACGGGUGAGUAACGCGUAAUCAACCUGCCCUUCAGAGGGGGACAACAGUUGGAAACGACUGCUAAUACCGCAUACGAUCUGACCUCGGCAUCGAGGAAAGAUGAAAGGUGGCCUCUAUGUAUAAGCUAUCACUGAAGGAGGGGAUUGCGUCUGAUUAGCUAGUUGGAGGGGUAACGGCCCACCAAGGCGAUGAUCAGUAGCCGGUCUGAGAGGAUGAACGGCCACAUUGGGACUGAGACACGGCCCAGACUCCUACGGGAGGCAGCAGUGGGGAAUCUUCCGCAAUGGACGAAAGUCUGACGGAGCAACGCCGCGUGAGUGAUGACGGCCUUCGGGUUGUAAAGCUCUGUUAAUCGGGACGAAAGGCCUUCUUGCGAAUAGUGAGAAGGAUUGACGGUACCGGAAUAGAAAGCCACGGCUAACUACGUG